RNAcentral lists this ribosomal RNA (1395 nucleotides) under uncultured bacterium. RNAcentral describes it as "bacterial SSU rRNA". It matches the Rfam family "Bacterial small subunit ribosomal RNA". The record is from RNAcentral.
AGAGUUUGAUCCUGGCUCAGGAUGAACGCUAGCUACAGGCUUAACACAUGCAAGUCGAGGGGCAGCAUGGGAUUAGCUUGCUAAUCCUGAUGGCGACCGGCGCACGGGUGCGUAACGCGUAUCCAACCUGCCCUCUACUCCGGAACAGCCCGUCGAAAGGCGGAUUAAUGCCGGAUGGUGUCAGAUGCCCGCAUGGGCUUGUGACUAAAGGCAACGGUAGAGGAUGGGGAUGCGACUGAUUAGCUAGUUGGCGGGGUAACGGCCCACCAAGGCUACGAUCAGUAGGGGUUCUGAGAGGAAGGUCCCCCACAUUGGAACUGAGACACGGUCCAAACUCCUACGGGAGGCAGCAGUGAGGAAUAUUGGUCAAUGGGCGAGAGCCUGAACCAGCCAAGUAGCGUGCGGGACGACGGCCCUAUGGGUUGUAAACCGCUUUUGAUUGGGAACAAAGAGCGCCACGUGUGGUGCGUUGCGUGUACCUUUCGAAUAAGCAUCGGCUAAUUCCGUGCCAGCAGCCGCGGUAAUACGGAAGAUGCGAGCGUUAUCCGGAUUUAUUGGGUUUAAAGGGAGCGUAGGCGGGCUGUUAAGUCAGCGGUCAAAUGUCAGGGCCCGACCUUGGCAUGCCGUUGAUACUGGCGGCCUUGAGUUCACACAAGGAAGGUGGAAUUCGUCGUGUAGCGGUGAAAUGCUUAGAUAUGACGAAGAACUCCGAUUGCGAAGGCAGCCUUCUGGGGUGUUACUGACGCUGAGGCUCGAAAGUGCGGGAAUCAAACAGGAUUAGAUACCCUGGUAGUCCGCACAGUAAACGAUGAAUACUCGCGGUUUGCGAUAGACUGUAAGCCGCCAAGCGAAAGCGUUAAGUAUUCCACCUGGGGGAGUACGCCCGGCAACGGUGAAACUCAAAGGGAAUUGACGGGGGCCCGCACAAGCGGAGGAACAUGUGGUUUAAUUCGAUGAUACGCGAGGAACCUUACCCGGGCUUGAACUGCCAGCGACGGAUGCAGAGACGCAUUUUUCUUCGGACGCUGGCGGAGGUGCUGCAUGGUUGUCGUCAGCUCGUGCCGUGAGGUGUCGGCUUAAGUGCCAUAACGAGCGCAACCCUCAUCCUCGUUUGCCAUCAGGUGAUGCUGGGCACUCCGGGGACACUGCCAUCGUAAGAUGUGAGGAAGGUGGGGAUGACGUCAAAUCAGCACGGCCCUUACGUCCGGGGCUACACACGUGUUACAAUGGGCGGUACAGAGGGCAGCCACUGCGCGAGCAGGAGCCAAUCCUCAAAGCCGUUCUCAGUUCGGACUGGAGUCUGCAACCCGACUCCACGAAGCUGGAUUCGCUAGUAAUCGCGCAUCAGCCAUGGCGCGGUGAAUACGUUCCCGGGCCUUGCACACACCGCCCGUC